UCUCUGUUUUCGAACCCGACGAUACUUCUGAGUGUUCUUAGCGAACUGUCAAAACUUUUAACAACGGAUCUCUUGGCUCCAGCAUCGAUGAAGAACGCAGCGAAACUCGAUAUGUAAUGUGAAUUGCAGAAUUCAGUGAAUCAUCGAAUCUUUGUAUCCUGGGAGGCAUGCCUGUCCGAGCGUCUUUUCAACCCUCGAGCCCCUGUGGCCCGGCGUUGGGGAUCUGCCACGGCAGGCCCCUAAAACCAGUGGCGGACCCGAAGGGCCCUCUCCUUUGCGCAGUAGCAUUCGCCUCGCUUGGGAGUCCUCGGCGUCCUGCCUCUACGCUUCGGCGGCACCAAGGUUGACCUCGGAUCAGGUAGGAAUACC
RNAcentral lists this ribosomal RNA (369 nucleotides) under Plectosphaerella sp. 1-39-ITS1F. Its description in RNAcentral is "eukaryotic LSU rRNA". The stretch from base 53 to 185 matches the Rfam family "5.8S ribosomal RNA". The record is from RNAcentral. Lineage: Eukaryota; Fungi; Ascomycota; Sordariomycetes; Glomerellales; Plectosphaerellaceae.